RNAcentral lists this non-coding RNA (24 nucleotides) under Arabidopsis thaliana (thale cress). The record is from RNAcentral. Lineage: Eukaryota; Viridiplantae; Streptophyta; Magnoliopsida; Brassicales; Brassicaceae.
CAUCUACAUCACUUCGAAUUCCUA